AGAAUCAACGCUGGCGGCGUGCCUAACACAUGCAAGUCGAUCGAGAAAGUGGAGCAAUCCAUGAGUAAAGAGGCGCACGGGUGAGUAACACGUGACUAACCUACCUUCGAGUGGGGAAUAACCUGGGGAAACCCGGGCUAAUACCGCAUAAUACCUACGGGUCAAAGGAGCAAUUCGCUUGAAGAGGGGGUCGCGGCAGAUUAGUUAGUUGGCGGGGUAAUGGCCCACCAAGACGAUGAUCUGUAUCCGGCCUGAGAGGGCGCACGGACACACUGGAACUGAAACACGGUCCAGACUCCUACGGGAGGCAGCAGUGGGGAAUUUUGCGCAAUGGGGGAAACCCUGACGCAGCAACGCCGCGUGGAGGAUGAAGUCCCUUGGGACGUAAACUCCUUUCGACCGGGACGAUUAUGACGGUACCGGAUAAAGAAGCCCCGGCUAACUUCGUGCCAGCAGCC
RNAcentral lists this ribosomal RNA (458 nucleotides) under uncultured bacterium. Its description in RNAcentral is "SSU rRNA". It matches the Rfam family "Bacterial small subunit ribosomal RNA", at positions 26 to 516 of the family's 1533-position model. The record is from RNAcentral.